Stylophora pistillata is the source of this 520-nucleotide long non-coding RNA. The record is from RefSeq and is a predicted model, not a curated record. Lineage: Eukaryota; Metazoa; Cnidaria; Anthozoa; Scleractinia; Pocilloporidae.
UGCGUUUAAUUACAUUAUCUUAUUGCAUGGUUCUCAACCUAAAACAUGUUUUACCGCCUAAGCGGUAAAUUAGUUUACAGAAAGCAAAUAUAUAUGAACAACGAUCGCUUGUUCCUCAAAAGUGCUUGUGGUAUUUUAGGGUUUUCACGUACGCUUCAAGAUGGUAUCCAAGUCCCAGCUCACUUUUGUGCUCUUGACAUGCGCAGUAAUUCUACUUCUAACCCAGCCAGCUGUGAGUCAAGAAGAUACGCUGCGAUGGGGUAAAAGGGAAAGCGGUCUGCCCGACAAGUUUGUGGCAGAGAACAUCAGAAAUUGGCGCAAGCAACGGUACAACAAGACACGGGAAUACCUCGAUGAAGAGGAAAACAAAGGUCUAAAGGGAUAUGGCUACAAUUGAAAAUGAUUUAACAUCAAUUUACGAAGUCGACGUCCCAAGCUUGGAAAAAAUGUUGCUAAGCUCUCUAAUAUAUAUCAGAUUCAGUAUUUGUCCAUGUUAUUAAAUAAACGUGUUUAAACUCGA